GACGAACGCUGGCGGCACGCUUAACACAUGCAAGUCGAACGGAAAGGCCUGCUUUCCCUUGUGGAUUGCGGGUACUCGAGUGGCGAACGGGUGAGUAACACGUGAGUGAUCUGCCCCCAACUUGGGUAUAAGCCUGGGAAACUGGGUCUAAUUCCCGAUAGGACUGCAGGGUGGUGCCUGUGGUGGAAAACGAUUUUCUAGUGGUUGGGGAUGAGCUCGCGGCCUAUCAGCUUGUUGGUGGGGUAAUGGCCUACCAAGGCGGCGACGGGUAGCCGGCCUGAGAGGGUGGACGGCCACAUUGGGACUGAGAUACGGCCCAGACUCCUACGGGAGGCAGCAGUGGGGAAUAUUGCACGAUGGGCGGAAGCCUGAUGCAGCGACGCCGCGUGGGGGAUGACGGCCUUCGGGUUGUAAACUCCUUUCGACCGCGAGGAAGCCACCUGGUUGGAAGGGUGGUGACGGUAGUGGUAGAAGAAGCACCGGCUAACUACGUG
This 494-nucleotide ribosomal RNA is filed under the name uncultured bacterium. Its description in RNAcentral is "partial 16S ribosomal RNA". It matches the Rfam family "Bacterial small subunit ribosomal RNA", at positions 28 to 507 of the family's 1533-position model. The record is from RNAcentral.